RNAcentral lists this non-coding RNA (30 nucleotides) under Macaca fascicularis (crab-eating macaque). RNAcentral also lists the same sequence under 1 other name. The record is from RNAcentral. Lineage: Eukaryota; Metazoa; Chordata; Mammalia; Primates; Cercopithecidae.
UCAAGUGUAAUGGCGCUGCGAUUGGGCUUC